GAUGAACGCUGGCGGCGUGCCUAAUACAUGCCAGUCGAGCGAACAGACGAGGAGCUUGCUCCUCUGACGUUAGCGGCGGACGGGUGAGUAACACGUGGAUAACCUACCUAUAAGACUGGGAUAACUUCGGGAAACCGGAGCUAAUACCGGAUAAUAUAUUGAACCGCAUGGUUCAAUAGUGAAAGACGGUUUUGCUGUCACUUCUAGAUGGAUCCGCGCCGCAUUAGCUAGUUGGUAAGGUAACGGCUUACCAAGGCAACGAUGCGUAGCCGACCGGAGAGGGGGAUCGGCCACACUGGAACUGAGACACCGUCCAGACGCCUACGGGAGGCAGCAGUAGGGAAUCUUCCGCAAUGGGCGAAAGCCUGGCGGAGCAACGCCGCGUGAGUGAUGAAGGUCUUCGGAUCGUAAAACUCUGUUAUUAGGGAAGAACAAAUGUGUAAGUAACUAUGCACGUCUUGACGGUACCUAAUCAGAAAGCCACGGCUAGCUACGUG
Molecule: ribosomal RNA, 497 nt
Filed under: uncultured bacterium
Lineage: Bacteria
Description: partial 16S ribosomal RNA
Rfam family: Bacterial small subunit ribosomal RNA
Source: RNAcentral